GUGCUCACUUUGGCAGCACAUAUACUAAAAUUGGAACACUACAGAGAAGAUUAGCAUGCCCCCUGUGCAAGGAUGACAUGCAAAUUUGUGAAGCGUUCCAUAUUUUA
Molecule: small nuclear RNA, 107 nt
Organism: Otolemur garnettii (small-eared galago)
Lineage: Eukaryota; Metazoa; Chordata; Mammalia; Primates; Galagidae
Source: Ensembl